GACGAACGCUGGCGGCGUGCUUAACACAUGCAAGUCGAACGGUGAAGCGCCUUCCUUUUUGGUGGGUGUGGAUGAGUGGCGAACGGGUGAGUAACACGUGAGUAACCUGCGCCCUUCUACUGGAUAACCGCAUGAAAGUGUGGCUAAUACGGGAUAUUCUGGGUCUGUCGCAUGAUGGGUCUGGGAAAGAUAUUGUUUCGGUGGGGGAUGGGCUCGCGGCCUAUCAGCUUGUUGGUGGGGUGAUGGCCUACCACGGCGGUGAGGGGUAGCCGGGCUGGGAGGGUGGACGGUAACAGUGGGGCUGAAACACGGAGCAGACUCCUGCAGGAGGCAGCAGUGAAGAAUAUAGCACAGUGGGAGGAAGCCUGAUGCAGCGACGCCGCGUGAGGGAUGGAGGCCUUCGGGUUGUGAACCUCUUUCGCGAGUGAAGCAGGCCUGCCUCGUUUGUGGGUGGGUUGACGGUAGCUGGAUAAGAAGCGCCGGCUAACUACGUG
This 494-nucleotide ribosomal RNA is filed under the name uncultured bacterium. Its description in RNAcentral is "partial 16S ribosomal RNA". It matches the Rfam family "Bacterial small subunit ribosomal RNA", at positions 28 to 507 of the family's 1533-position model. The record is from RNAcentral.